GAUGAACGCUGGCGGCGUGCUUAACACAUGCAAGUCGAACGGAAGGACCCUGCUUUUGUGUGUUUCUCGUUUGGGGAACGGGUGAGUGACACAUGUGUAAACUGCCCUUGACUGUGUGAGAACUUCAGGAGACUGGGUCUCUUACCGGGUAUGAGCUCCUGCUGCGUGUGGGGCGAAGGUGAGAUUCGGCGUUUGGGGAUGGACUCGAGGGUUAUCAGCUUGUUUGUGGGGUAGUGGCUUACCACGGCUUUGACGGGUAGCCGGCCUGAGAGGGUGAACGGCCACAUUGGGCCUGAGAUAGGCCGCAGAAGCGUACGUGAGGCAACAGUCGGGAACAUUGCGCAAUGGGGCGACGUCAGAUGCAGCAACGCUGCGUGCGGGAUGACGGCCUACGAGUGAUAAACCGAUUUCGAAGGUGACGAAGCGAGAGUGACGGUAACGAGUCAAAAAGCAACGGCUAACUACGUG
This 468-nucleotide ribosomal RNA is filed under the name uncultured bacterium. RNAcentral's name for it is "partial 16S ribosomal RNA". It matches the Rfam family "Bacterial small subunit ribosomal RNA", at positions 28 to 507 of the family's 1533-position model. The record is from RNAcentral.